This is a long non-coding RNA of Mesocricetus auratus (golden hamster), 398 nucleotides long. RefSeq lists it as uncharacterized. The record is from RefSeq and is a predicted model, not a curated record. NCBI's taxonomy places the organism in Eukaryota, Metazoa, Chordata, Mammalia, Rodentia, Cricetidae. The transcript is spliced from 3 exons.
UUAUUGGACAGUAAGAACUUUAGGAUGGUUCUUUAAGAGAACAUGAGUCAUCUCAAGAGACUGAAGAGGCUUUUAAAAGAUGUGGAAGUGGUGAUUUUAGGUUGAGUCAAUUUGACUGUUGAAGCUAACCAUCACAGAUACCAUCAAGCAAGAACAGAAAAUGCAUCAAGGUGCCACUGUGCUCCAGAUGGACACCAAGUCUUCAGGGGAAGGUCUUGGGGUAUUUGAACUCUGGCCUCUAGUCUAGCUCUCUGCUCGUCGCUUCAACUCCUUCUCCGGCUCUGUGAUCCAAUUAAAUCUUCCAUGUGACAGCAACUAAGAUAACUUAAAUCAGCUUUGUCAUUUGUAGACAUGACCACCAGCUUACUGAUAUGAAAAAUUAAAAAAAAAUAGCUGCC